Molecule: long non-coding RNA, 320 nt
Organism: Gadus macrocephalus (Pacific cod)
Lineage: Eukaryota; Metazoa; Chordata; Actinopteri; Gadiformes; Gadidae
Exons: 3
Source: RefSeq, a predicted model, not a curated record
CAGGCGUCUCCUACUCUGACCCGACCGACGCCGAACUGCUCGCCGCUGCCGACGAGGUCGACCCUCCCAGCACGUCCAGGGACGCCCCGCCAGCCGCGGCCCCGCUGGAAGGACCAGCACCAGGUCCAGGACCAGGACCAAUGGCCACGAGGCCUGCCUCCGGCAAAGAGCUGCUUCCCCUCAGCUGGAGGAAGACGCUGCCUGAGGAGCAGCAGGAGUGUGUGGGCCGGGCGCUGUUCCGCAGGGACCCCAGCAGCGGGAAGGCUGUGCUCACCACACCGCCCCGACUGUGGUGGUACCCGCCAGGCGCCCGGCUCCUC